GACGGGGGAUGCAAGCGUUAUCCGGAAUGACUGGGCGUAAAGCGUCUGUAGGUGGCUUUGUAAGUCUGCCGUAAAAUCCCAGGGCUCAACCGUGGGCAGGCGGUGGAGACUACUAAGCUGGAGUACGGGAGGGGCAGAGGGAAUUUCCGGUGGAGCGGUGAAAUGCGUAGAUAUCGGAAAGAACACCAAGGGCGAAGGCAUGUUGCUGGGCCGAUACUGACGCUGAGAGACGAGAGCUUGGGGAGCAAAUGGG
RNAcentral lists this ribosomal RNA (253 nucleotides) under uncultured bacterium. RNAcentral's name for it is "partial 16S ribosomal RNA". It matches the Rfam family "Bacterial small subunit ribosomal RNA", at positions 524 to 776 of the family's 1533-position model. The record is from RNAcentral.